This 255-nucleotide ribosomal RNA is filed under the name Alkalicoccus luteus. RNAcentral's name for it is "Bacillus luteus partial 23S ribosomal RNA". It matches the Rfam family "Bacterial large subunit ribosomal RNA", at positions 1398 to 1647 of the family's 2925-position model. Lineage: Bacteria; Bacillati; Bacillota; Bacilli; Caryophanales; Bacillaceae. The record is from RNAcentral.
GAGGCUGAAAAGCGUAGGCGAUGGCAAACAGGCGAAAGAUUCCUGUACCACCUUGUUUCCAUUUGAGCAAUGGGGGGACGCAGGAAGGUAGGGAAAGCGCACCGCUGGACGUGUGCGUCGAAGCAGAGGAGGCUGGCAGACAGGUAAAUCCGUCUGCCGUAAGGCUGAGCUGUGACCGCGAGGGAAAUAUAGUACCGAAGUUCCCGAUCCUACACUGCCAAGAAAAGCCUCUAGCGAGGAAACGGGUGCCCGUAC